CCAAUAGCGUAUAUUAAAGUUGUUGCAGUUAAAAAGCUCGUAGUUGAAUUUCGGGAUCAAUACGCUGGUCGUGCCAUUGGUACGUACUAGUAUUAUUGGUUUCUCCUUUCUGAUGAAUCAUGAUGUCAUUAAUUUGAUGUCAUGAGGAAUCAGGACUGUUACUUUGAAAAAAUUAGAGUGUUUAAAGCAGGCUCGAGCUUGAAUACAUUAGCAUGGAAUAAUGAAAUAGGAUGUUUGAUUCUAUUUUGUUGUUUUCUAGGAUUGAAGUAAUGAUUAAUAGGGAUAGUUGGGGGCAGUAGUAUGCAAUUGUCAGAGGUAAAAUUCUUGGAUUUAUUGAAGACUAACUACUGCGAAAGCAUUUGCCAAGGAUGUUUUCAUUAAUCAAGAACGAAAGUUAGGGGAUCGAAGACGAUCAGAUACCGUCGUAGUCUUAACCAUAAACUAUGCCGACUAGGGAUCGGAUGAUGUUAAUUUUUUAAUGACUCAUUCGGCGCCUUACG
This 500-nucleotide ribosomal RNA is filed under the name uncultured Glomeromycotina. RNAcentral's name for it is "partial small subunit ribosomal RNA". It matches the Rfam family "Eukaryotic small subunit ribosomal RNA", at positions 591 to 1092 of the family's 1831-position model. The record is from RNAcentral. Lineage: Eukaryota; Fungi; Glomeromycota.